Molecule: ribosomal RNA, 253 nt
Filed under: uncultured bacterium
Lineage: Bacteria
Description: partial 16S ribosomal RNA
Rfam family: Bacterial small subunit ribosomal RNA
Source: RNAcentral
UACGUAGGGUGCAAGCGUUGUCCGGAAUUAUUGGGCGUAAAGAGCUCGUAGGCGGUCUGUCGCGUCGGCUGUGAAAUCCCGAGGCUCAACCUCGGGUCUGCAGUCGAUACGGGCAAACUUGAGUGUUGCAGGGGAGACUGGAAUUCCUGGUGUAGCGGUGAAAUGCGCAGAUAUCAGGAGGAACACCGAUGGCGAAGGCAGCUCGCUGGGACGGUACUGACGCUGAGACGCGAAAGCGUGGGGAGCAAACAGG